UGGCUACAAAAUAAUUUAUUUUGUAGCUAUUUUAAGUUACGAUACUUGUUAUGUUAAUUUAUGAGAUUAUAGUAACUUCAUACUAAGUGGUUUAAUAUAACGUUAUGGUAAAUAUCUCUAUGUGUUAUAAUAACCCAACUAUUGUAUAUAUGUAUUGAUAUUAUCGUAAAUUAGUAUAUAAAAUUAUCGUAAAUGAAUAUGGGUACGGAAUAACUUUUGGCGCUC
Molecule: microRNA precursor, 225 nt
Filed under: Sorghum bicolor (sorghum)
Lineage: Eukaryota; Viridiplantae; Streptophyta; Magnoliopsida; Poales; Poaceae
Description: MIR6217 microRNA precursor family
Rfam family: MIR6217 microRNA precursor family
Source: Rfam by way of RNAcentral